Molecule: ribosomal RNA, 488 nt
Filed under: uncultured bacterium
Lineage: Bacteria
Description: partial 16S ribosomal RNA
Rfam family: Bacterial small subunit ribosomal RNA
Source: RNAcentral
GACGAACGCUGGCGGCGUGCUUAACACAUGCAAGUCGAACGGAAAGGCCCUGCUUUUGUGGGGUUCUCGAGUGGCGAACGGGUGAGUAACACGUGAGUAACCUGCCCUUGACUUUGUGAUAACUUCAGGAAACUGGGGCUAUUACCGGAUAGGAUCUCCUGCUGCAUGGUGGGGGUUGGAAAGUUUCGGCUGUUGGGGAUGUACUCGCGGCGUAUCAGCUUGUUGGUGGGGUAGUGGCUUACCAAGGCUUUGACGGGUAGCCGACCUGAGAGGGUGACCGGCCACACAGGAAGUGAGAAACGGUCAAGAGUAAUAAGGGAGGCAGCAGUAGGGAAGCUGACGAAAAGGGCGAAAGACUGACGGAGCAACGCCGCGUGAGUGAUGAAGGGCUGCGGAUCGGAAAACUCUGUGAUUAGGGAAGAACAAAUGUGGAAGUAACUAUGCAAGUCUUGACGGUACCUAAUCAGAAAGACACGGCUAACUAAGUG